CUGGGAAUAAGUCCAGACUCAGUAUUCACUGCAUGAAAGAGGGGACAGGCUUAGAGACAGAGAUUCCUAGGAUUGGCACAGGCUUAGAGAAAAAGAGAGAAGGAAGAUUCUAGAAGAGGCAGGACGGGGUGGUGCUGGUUGGGCUCAAGAGUGAGGUUUCCUCAUAGGUCAGGAGAUGAGGAGGAGAGGGGAGUGAAGGCAUAAGAAAGGUGUUUGUGUAGUUGGGAAGGAGUUCAGGAGGCCAGUGCGGACCUGCUUGGACACGGGAGGAGAAGGUUGCGGGGAAGCUGGUGGUAUUGCCAGCCGCUAGGAGGGAGGGAGCUUUGGCAGUCCUGCCGCAGCUGGGAGAAGGCAGCCGCCUCUUAUCUUUAGAGGUCUUAAGAGCACGUGCUGAAGCUAAGUCACUUCAGUUGUGUCUUACUGCGAUCCCACGGACUGUAGCUCGACAGGCUUCUCUGUCUGUGGGAUUCUCCAGGCAAGAAGAUUGGAGUGGGUUGCCAUGCCCUCCUCCAGGGGAUCUUCCCAACCCAGGGAUCGAAGCUGUGUCUAUUAUGUCUCCUGCAUUGGCAGGCGGUUCUUUUCAAUAGCGCCACCUGGGAAGCCCUGAAGUGAAGCUGUUUCUGCCGAUUAAGAGCAGGUGGUGGUCCUUAGUUUGAGGAUUCUUUGGCGAACCUGUUCGGAGGCCACUGAUCUUUCCCCCCACAGAAAUGCAUGCUUGACUCUACAUCCCAACCUUUGGUGGAGGAUUUCGGAGUGGGGGAGGGUGGAUCCAGUUACCAUAGCAACACUAAUACUAACAGCUCACUCGAUGCUGGGCACUGGUCUAGGGUCUUCACAAGACCUGACUCCGUUACACACGUGGAGACUUAGGAGAGGAGCCACUGUUGCUCGUGGUAGCUGCGCCCUUUCACAUUCCCACCAACAGCGCACAGCGUCCCAGCUUCUUCACAUCCUUGCCAGCAAGUGUUGUGUGGUCUUUCCCCGACCCCACCCCACACUUAAGUGUUUGAAAUCCAGUGUGUAUUUUCCACUCAGAACAUCUUGUUGGACCAGCUCUGUUUCCAGGGCUAGAAAGUCAUGUGAGAGUGGACGGUGCAGGCUUAGACCGUUUGUGUUUGCCCUCGUUACUCAUGUGGCUGUACUGAGAUCUCCCAUCUUGCUGUUGGUUUUCAGUUUAUCUCC
Long non-coding RNA from Bos taurus (domestic cattle), 1182 nucleotides. The record is from Ensembl. NCBI's taxonomy places the organism in Eukaryota, Metazoa, Chordata, Mammalia, Artiodactyla, Bovidae.